UCCGUAUUGCGAGGGUACAGAGCACUUCCUCAAUAAGUCUCCGGCUAUUCAGAGACUCACCCGAGAGGAGGUCAUAGAGUGGAUCAAAGUCAACAAGAGAUGCUGGAGAUGCGGGAGAGCACAUCAAGCAGCGCAAUGUGACCUCAAGAGGCUCUGUGAUGUGUGCCAAGGAAAGCAUCUAAGGGUACUGCGUGAUGUCAACGCACGCCCCAAAGCUGAGCAACCGAAAGCUGAAAGCUGUCUUGUAAGCACAUUACGGAAGUUCUGUACCUAGACAGACCAUCGUCCCAUGCCCGGGUACUGUUGAAAGUCAUCAGAGUUCUCCUGCGCAACAGAGACAGGACACUAGACACUUAUACGAUUUUGGACGAUGGAUCGGAGCGGACAAUGCUCCUCCCUGAGGCAGUUGACAAACUGGGCCUGCAUAAGAAGCCUGAAGAUCUCGCUCUCCGCACAAUUCCACAGGAAGUUCAAACCCUGAAGGGAGCCGCUGUUUCAUUCAAAAUCUCAUCCCCAACUAAUCCCAAAAGAACUUUCCAGAUAGUGGAGGCCUUCACUUCACAACACUUGGGUCUGGCAGACCACUCCUACCCCAUCGCCAGUCUGAAGAGGAGGUACAAACACCUAGCAGAACUCCCCCUUGAGCCAUUUGAACAUGUCAAGCCGCUCGUGCUGAUUGGUGCAGACUACCCCCAUCUACUUACCCCUGUCGAGCCGGUGAGACUGGGCCCUCCUGGAGGUCCGGUGGCCAUUCGCACGAGGCUGGGAUGGACGCUCCAAGGACCUGCACACCUUACCCAGUGGACCCCGAGUAUCCAGCAGUGUCUCCUCACUGGGGUCUCAUUCCAGACGACAGAGCUGAUGCAGAACGUGGAGAAGCUCUGGAAGAUGGACAUCCUGCCAUACCAGAGUAGCAAACUGGCAGUGAGAUCAAAGCAGGAUAAGGAAGCGCUGGAGCACUUGGAGGCCAGGACGAGGCGAGUACAGGUUGCAGGUAUCCUUAGAUAUGCCAUGCCCCUGCUAAGGAAGCAAGGCGUUCCCCCACUCAGAGCUCCCAAGGAAGCCGUCCUACCCAGCCUCAGGAGUCUAGAGAGACGCUUGGCCCGGGAUCCUCUACAAGCUGAAGAGUACUGUGCAGCGAUUCGGAAGUUGUUGGAAGUAGGCGCGAUCAGGAGGAUAGACCCAGGCAAAGCCUUAGCCACCAAUGAGUCAUGGUACAUACCGC
This 1225-nucleotide long non-coding RNA is filed under the name Sinocyclocheilus grahami. RNAcentral's name for it is "lncRNA (ENSSGRG00000008272.1)". The record is from RNAcentral. Lineage: Eukaryota; Metazoa; Chordata; Actinopteri; Cypriniformes; Cyprinidae.